GGGUUGUGAGGUUAAGCGACUAAGCGUACACGGUGGAUGCCCUGGCAGUCAGAGGCGAUGAAGGACGUGCUAAUCUGCGAUAAGCGUCGGUGAGGUGAUAUGAACCGUUAUAACCGGCGAUUUCCGAAUGGGGAAACCCAGUGUGUUUCGACACACUAUCAUUAACUGAAUCCAUAGGUUAAUGAGGCGAACCGGGGGAACUGAAACAUCUAAGUACCCCGAGGAAAAGAAAUCAACCGAGAUUCCCCCAGUAGCGGCGAGCGAACGGGGAGGAGCCCAGAGCCUGAAUCAGUGUGUGUGUUAGUGGAAGCGUCUGGAAAGGCGCGCGAUACAGGGUGACAGCCCCGUACACAAAAAUGCACAUGCUGUGAGCUCGAUGAGUAGGGCGGGACACGUGGUAUCCUGUCUGAAUAUGGGGGGACCAUCCUCCAAGGCUAAAUACUCCUGACUGACCGAUAGUGAACCAGUACCGUGAGGGAAAGGCGAAAAGAACCCCGGCGAGGGGAGUGAAAAAGAACCUGAAACCGUGUACGUACAAGCAGUGGGAGCCUCUUAAUGGGGUGACUGCGUACCUUUUGUAUAAUGGGUCAGCGACUUAUAUUCUGUAGCAAGGUUAACCGAAUAGGGGAGCCGAAGGGAAACCGAGUCUUAACUGGGCGUUAAGUUGCAGGGUAUAGACCCGAAACCCGGUGAUCUAGCCAUGGGCAGGUUGAAGGUUGGGUAACACUAACUGGAGGACCGAACCGACUAAUGUUGAAAAAUUAGCGGAUGACUUGUGGCUGGGGGUGAAAGGCCAAUCAAACCGGGAGAUAGCUGGUUCUCCCCGAAAGCUAUUUAGGUAGCGCCUCGUGAAUUCAUCUCCGGGGGUAGAGCACUGUUUCGGCAAGGGGGUCAUCCCGACUUACCAACCCGAUGCAAACUGCGAAUACCGGAGAAUGUUAUCACGGGAGACACACGGCGGGUGCUAACGUCCGUCGUGAAGAGGGAAACAACCCAGACCGCCAGCUAAGGUCCCAAAGUCAUGGUUAAGUGGGAAACGAUGUGGGAAGGCCCAGACAGCCAGGAUGUUGGCUUAGAAGCAGCCAUCAUUUAAAGAAAGCGUAAUAGCUCACUGGUCGAGUCGGCCUGCGCGGAAGAUGUAACGGGGCUAAACCAUGCACCGAAGCUGCGGCAGCGACACUAUGUGUUGUUGGGUAGGGGAGCGUUCUGUAAGCCUGUGAAGGUGGCCUGUGAGGGUUGCUGGAGGUAUCAGAAGUGCGAAUGCUGACAUAAGUAACGAUAAAGCGGGUGAAAAGCCCGCUCGCCGGAAGACCAAGGGUUCCUGUCCAACGUUAAUCGGGGCAGGGUGAGUCGACCCCUAAGGCGAGGCCGAAAGGCGUAGUCGAUGGGAAACAGGUUAAUAUUCCUGUACUUGGUGUUACUGCGAAGGGGGGACGGAGAAGGCUAUGUUGGCCGGGCGACGGUUGUCCCGGUUUAAGCGUGUAGGCUGGUUUUCCAGGCAAAUCCGGAAAAUCAAGGCUGAGGCGUGAUGACGAGGCACUACGGUGCUGAAGUGACAAAUGCCCUGCUUCCAGGAAAAGCCUCUAAGCAUCAGGUAACAUCAAAUCGUACCCCAAACCGACACAGGUGGUCAGGUAGAGAAUACCAAGGCGCUUGAGAGAACUCGGGUGAAGGAACUAGGCAAAAUGGUGCCGUAACUUCGGGAGAAGGCACGCUGAUAUGUAGGUGAAGCGACUUGCUCGUGGAGCUGAAAUCAGUCGAAGAUACCAGCUGGCUGCAACUGUUUAUUAAAAACACAGCACUGUGCAAACACGAAAGUGGACGUAUACGGUGUGACGCCUGCCCGGUGCCGGAAGGUUAAUUGAUGGGGUUAGCGGUAACGCGAAGCUCUUGAUCGAAGCCCCGGUAAACGGCGGCCGUAACUAUAACGGUCCUAAGGUAGCGAAAUUCCUUGUCGGGUAAGUUCCGACCUGCACGAAUGGCGUAAUGAUGGCCAGGCUGUCUCCACCCGAGACUCAGUGAAAUUGAACUCGCUGUGAAGAUGCAGUGUACCCGCGGCAAGACGGAAAGACCCCGUGAACCUUUACUAUAGCUUGACACUGAACAUUGAGCCUUGAUGUGUAGGAUAGGUGGGAGGCUUUGAAGUGUGGACGCCAGUCUGCAUGGAGCCGACCUUGAAAUACCACCCUUUAAUGUUUGAUGUUCUAACGUUGGCCCCUAAUCGGGGUUGCGGACAGUGUCUGGUGGGUAGUUUGACUGGGGCGGUCUCCUCCUAAAGAGUAACGGAGGAGCACGAAGGUUGGCUAAUCCUGGUCGGACAUCAGGAGGUUAGUGCAAUGGCAUAAGCCAGCUUGACUGCGAGCGUGACGGCGCGAGCAGGUGCGAAAGCAGGUCAUAGUGAUCCGGUGGUUCUGAAUGGAAGGGCCAUCGCUCAACGGAUAAAAGGUACUCCGGGGAUAACAGGCUGAUACCGCCCAAGAGUUCAUAUCGACGGCGGUGUUUGGCACCUCGAUGUCGGCUCAUCACAUCCUGGGGCUGAAGUAGGUCCCAAGGGUAUGGCUGUUCGCCAUUUAAAGUGGUACGCGAGCUGGGUUUAGAACGUCGUGAGACAGUUCGGUCCCUAUCUGCCGUGGGCGCUGGAGAACUGAGGGGGGCUGCUCCUAGUACGAGAGGACCGGAGUGGACGCAUCACUGGUGUUCGGGUUGUCAUGCCAAUGGCACUGCCCGGUAGCUAAAUGCGGAAGAGAUAAGUGCUGAAAGCAUCUAAGCACGAAACUUGCCCCGAGAUGAGUUCUCCCUGACUCCUUGAGAGUCCUGAAGGAACGUUGAAGACGACGACGUUGAUAGGCCGGGUGUGUAAGCGCAGCGAUGCGUUGAGCUAACCGGUACUAAUGAACCGUGAGGCUUAACCUUACAACGCCGAAG
RNAcentral lists this ribosomal RNA (2925 nucleotides) under Escherichia coli. RNAcentral describes it as "bacterial LSU rRNA". It matches the Rfam family "Bacterial large subunit ribosomal RNA". Lineage: Bacteria; Pseudomonadati; Pseudomonadota; Gammaproteobacteria; Enterobacterales; Enterobacteriaceae. The record is from RNAcentral.